UUGUGUCAUGGUAGCUUCUGUCAUUGCUUGCAUCAUCAUUGGUUUGUUGAAAUCUUCCACGUUGCAAGACUUUUUGUCUGCACUUGCAUUUCUUCUUUUGUCUUCAUCAUGGAUUUGAUGAUGACUUCCACGUUGCCAAUCUUUGUUGUUGGUAUGUGGAUUUCCUUCCUUUCAGGUUGCUAUCUUUGUUGACUUCAACCUUCUUGCAUAUUAUUGAGAUUCAUUUCUUCAAUCUCACCCAAAUGUAAAGAAUCUGAUGAGAGUCUUGGUGGUGAGUUCCACGUCUCCGAUAUAUUUUUGAGUUUUUCUGUAAUGUGAGAUGGAAAUUCUUCUAUCCCCAUUUUAGCAAUCUUUUUUAACAGCUUCACAGAUUCCUCAUUUCUUUCCUCCUAGAUGUUUCCAUUGGGAAAUGCCAAUAUCUUUCUUCCAUCCGUCCAUAGUUUAUAAACUUCAUCAUGGAGAAGAUAAUGGGCUUGUGAUAAUAAUUUCAAACCUGUUCAAAUUUAUUAUAACAUUCAUCAAUUGUUUUUUGACAAAUGUUCUUUAUGUUCAUUGACUACAGAUAAUUGGGGGUUCCAAUCAUCUUUUUA
Molecule: long non-coding RNA, 590 nt
Filed under: Gossypium raimondii (Peruvian cotton)
Lineage: Eukaryota; Viridiplantae; Streptophyta; Magnoliopsida; Malvales; Malvaceae
Description: long non-coding RNA (GRAI_LNC010557)
Source: RNAcentral